Molecule: transfer RNA, 77 nt
Filed under: Methanosphaerula palustris E1-9c
Lineage: Archaea; Methanobacteriati; Methanobacteriota; Methanomicrobia; Methanomicrobiales; Methanoregulaceae
Description: tRNA-Phe
Rfam family: tRNA
About the family: Transfer RNA (tRNA) molecules are approximately 80 nucleotides in length. Their secondary structure includes four short double-helical elements and three loops (D, anti-codon, and T loops).
Source: RNAcentral
GCCUUAGUAGCUCAGUUUGGGAGAGCGCCAGACUGAAGAUCUGGUUGUCCCCGGUUCAAAUCCGGGCUGAGGCAUCA